GAUGAAGAACGCAGCGAAAUGCGAUAAGUAAUGUGAAUUGCAGAAUUCAGUGAAUCAUCGAAUCUUUGAACGCACCUUGCACCCUUUGGCAUUCCGAAGGGUAUGCUCGUUUGAGUGUCAUUGUACUCUCACACUCUCCGAUCCUAUGGAUUCGGGGAGCGGUGGACUUGGGUGUUGCUGCCUUUCCCUGUGGCUCACCUCAAAUGCGUCAGUGCACCUCUUGGUUGGACAUAGUACGGCGUGAUAAGUGUCUUCGCCGGCACCUCGCAAGAGGGUGGCCGAUCGGGAGCUCUGCGCUAUCAAACCGUCUUCGGACAAUUUCUGACAUCUUGACCUCAAAUCGAGUAGGACUACCCGCUGAACUUAAGCAUAUCAAUAAGCGGAGGA
RNAcentral lists this unclassified non-coding RNA (387 nucleotides) under soil metagenome. RNAcentral describes it as "partial contains 5.8S ribosomal RNA, internal transcribed spacer 2, and large subunit ribosomal RNA". The stretch from base 1 to 120 matches the Rfam family "5.8S ribosomal RNA", at positions 35 to 154 of the family's 154-position model. The record is from RNAcentral.